This 181-nucleotide unclassified non-coding RNA is filed under the name uncultured Phlebiella. RNAcentral's name for it is "sequence contains ITS2". Lineage: Eukaryota; Fungi; Basidiomycota; Agaricomycetes; Corticiales; Corticiaceae. The record is from RNAcentral.
AAUUAUCAACUUCAUAGUUUCAUUAUUAUGAGGCUUGGACUUGGAAGCUGCUGGCUUUGUUCGGCUCUUCUCAAAUACAUUAGCUGCUUGUCCGUGGGUUGGCUCAGAGUGUGAUAAUUAUCUGCACUUGGUGGCUGCCUGCAAGGAUGUGGCUUCUAGUCGUCUUCGGACAAUUCUUAAG